Long non-coding RNA from Diorhabda carinulata, 4100 nucleotides. RefSeq lists it as uncharacterized. Lineage: Eukaryota; Metazoa; Arthropoda; Insecta; Coleoptera; Chrysomelidae. The record is from RefSeq and is a predicted model, not a curated record. The transcript has 3 exons.
GACAGUGCGAUUUUUGACGUUUACAGACAUGGGCGUAGAAAAACUUAAAUAAAUAAACAGCUGAGCAUUUGUCAACAAUCUGACGUUCUGGAUUUGUGAAUAUCUCAAAUUGUUCUCUCAAUUAUUCGAAAAAUGUACUAAAUUAAUUUAUGUCAAACUAAAUUCCAGUGAAGGUGAUUGGACUUAUUUAUGGUAUUAUAUAAAAAUUUUCGAGCUUACAGUGGGAACUUACCUGUGCGCAUGGACUAACAUUAAGCCUGCUGACAUUAUCAAUUUCACCCGUUGUACAACGGGAUUUGAUUUAUGAUCCUCUUCACGAAAAGCUUUAGCAAUUAGACUUUGCUUGUUGGAAUACAUUCCAGUACUUCGAGACAACUAAAAAAAAUAUUAUACGAUUUUGUACCUUGCACAGCUCAAAUAUUGUUGAAUGGAUCGGGAUUUAAUAACCUAUAGUCUGCAGCUUAAUCAAAAUAUGUUAUAUCAAAUAACCGAUUGUCGGGUAUUUUGGUAGACUCCCGUAUCAAUCCGGUGACGGGUGAUGGUGAGGUUUAGUAUAUAAGAUGGGAAAAUAGAAUAUAAAAUUGCGGAAACAGCUAUCCCAAUAUGACUUUUUGACCUUUAUAAUGUACUCUAGACUUAUCAAACUCGCACGAAGAAGACGAAAAAUGUAUAAACAUUGUAAUGAACGUUUAAUCACAUACAUAUCCAAAUUGAUAAAGGUUCUUGACAUUGCGUAAUCUGUGGUUCUGGGUUCGAAUCUACAACUCUAAAUUGAUUGGUAAUCGUUCGUACUUCAUAUAUAGCCGAAAAAUAUGAGGUGAAGUUGUAUCAUAUUGAUGAAAAAGGUCGUUUGUAACCAAACAAAUGCCGUCUUAUGGUAUCAAGAAGAUGGAUAAGCCCCAUACAUCUUAAAGAAGAGUUUAGUGCAGCGUCAAGUUCCUGGUUCGAGGGACAUAGACUAAUCCUAAGAAGUAUAUACAGUUUCGCGAAUGAAGACUCGUAUGUAAAAGGGCUUGUGCAAAAGCAGUCGUACCUAAAUCAGCAGAGUGAAAGGGGUAGAUUAGAAGUCCGGGUCCUGUAGUGCAUAUAGAUGAGGUUAAAUCUGGCAGGUGCAAGCUCCAUAAAAAAUAAGUUGCUGAAGGACACCAGUUGUUGGGAUCAUCGAGGAUGGCUCAGAAGAUUUUAGAUUGGAAAGUUUGUACAAAAAUCGCCGAUAUAGAGAGACAUUGAUCCCACUUACAGUUGGGGUGCUUACAACUGCUUGUCAGAAUACCUUUAUCUCCAUAAGAUAAUGAUGAGAGUUCAUGUUUCAGGAAGAAUUACAUAUUCCAAGAAUUGAAGCUUUAUGGCGAUCGAUGCCUGUAUUUUUCCGUAGAUGUAAUGGUGCACGAAAAAUUAAAUAGAUAAUUUUCAAUUGUUAGAUUGAACUGUAGACUUAUUGUAAAUAAAGAAAAUACAAUUUUUAGGUUAGGUUAGGUUAGGUCAGGUUAGGCUCGUUCUAGGUGUCGUUUUUAACUCUCUGAUUUAUUUAAAGCUAUUUCUUCUCAAAUUAUACCUUUUUCUGUUCUAUUACAUCCACUUCCGUCACCGGCAUUAUAAGAAAUCUUAGUGGAAUUUUUAUUAUAUCGUAUAAAGGUUAGAACUGAUAGUAUAAAAGAUCUAUGAAAUACCGUCAUUUGUCAGGUUAGGGAAUUACAAAGUAUUAUAAAUAAAUGUGGAUAAAAUAAUUCAAAAUUAAUAAUUUCUAUUAUUAAAAAGGAACUUUGCCCUUUUCUUAUAUAUCAUUAUAAUAAAUGAGUGAGAAUUUAGAAAACGUUCAAGAAAUAUUCUAGGUUAACUAAUUUCACUUGUUUUUAAUAGAGAAGGUGAGAUAUUCACAUCAACAUUUUAUGUAAUCGAUGUAUAUCGAAAUAAAUGUCUUGUGACAUCAAACGAAAAAUUCACGAAAGUAAAACAAAUUGCGUUACAUCUACGGUCGAUUUGUGGACUAUAAAAUAUCUAACUCCUUAUAAAGUUUGCAGCACACCUAUUUUAGAUUUUAUAGUAUACGUAAUCUUCUUUUAGAUCCAUACACUUUUUCCAGCGAUGUUCAAUAAGUACGAUACCAUUUUUAUAAUAAGAAUCGUCAAAAUAGCCGUUAACUGCGACAUCAUUUAUUCAUUGUUGUAAAAUCUUUGAGCACCGAGAUAUUUUUUCAAGUUUGGGAAAGAAAAUAAUCCGAAGAGGCUAAAUCUGACGAAUAGGGAGCAUGAGGUAGCAAUUCAAACUGCAAAUCAUUAAUUAUGAGCAUUGCAAUAACGGAUGUGUGAGCUGGUGUAUUGUCUUCUAAGCAAAUGCGGCCGUUUUUGCUUUAUUACUUCGCUCAAACUACAAUAAGUUCGCCGUUUUUGUUCCAUUAUGAGCAAACGCGUCACCCUUCUAGUGCACAGUUUUCUCAUGUACAAAUUUUCAGUUAAUAUGAGAUUUACUGCACUUUUUGAAAUGUCUAUUAUGACUGCUAGCUCACACACUUCCAUAAGAUUAUCAUCCAGUACCGCUUUGUGGAUUUUCUUCAACAUCUCUGGAGUCGUCGCCUCAUUUGGUCGACCACCGAGGUGCUGGUCGUACGGCCUCUGCUACCCAAUAUUUUAAUGUUGAUAACGAAGGAACAAUCUCACCCAGAGUAGAAUCUAGUUCAGCUUUGUUCACUAUUGAUGGCUGCCAUACAAAUACUUAACAACAUGGUUCAAACUUGGAACAUAUGCUGAACAGAUUAUGUGGUAUUUUUCAAGCAACUACCGCCAUCUCUAGGUGAGGCCAGAUACUUAAUCUUAAUUCUUAACGUAAUGAAAGUUGAGUUGGUCUAAUGUACCAUUGGCAUCUUAAUUUCAUGUAUUCAUUCAUUUACAUGAUCGAGAUACUAGAAGGACAUUAAUCUGAUCUAUUAGACGAUAAAUUUUUAAACAAUAUUUUUGAGUAACUUGCUUUUCAAACUUGGAACAUAUGCUGAACAGAUUAUGUGGUAUUUUUUAAGCAACUACCGCCAUCUCUAGGUGAUGCCAGAUACUGAAUCUUAAUUCUUAACGUAAUGAAAAUUGAGGUGGUCUAAUGUACCAUUGGCAUCUUAAUUUCAUGUAUACAUUCAUUUACAUGAUCGAGAUACUAGGACAUUAACCUGAUCUAUUAGACGAUAAAUUUUUAAACAAUAUUUUUAAGUAAUUAGCUUUUGCAAGCUAUAGGUUAAUAGCAACAGUGGAAAAAAUUGUAAUUUAGGUGUUUACCUCUAAUGUGAGAGAAAGACAUGCCGGAUAAAACGUCAUAAAAACCAUGUAAUUAACUAGAACUGAUAAGCAAGCAAAAUAUGACAGCAUUUCUAACCGAUGUACUCCUAAAAAUAAAAUAACACUACACAUAAUGCUGUAGGAAAUAAAAUCAAAGCAAAACCAAAUAUUACGGUAUACCACUUCUGGAAUAACUAAUAUCGUAGGAACAUGGUUUUGAAAGUCUUCAACAGCUUCUGGAGGUGAUGAAAAUCGCUGUCCGCGCAUCUUUUGUUUGACAAUGGUGCUCUGCUUUGCUACUUAUCAACGCUACCUAUUGUUCGAUUAUGAAACCUUAAAUAGCAACCCUCGUAUAUUCUAUGUAAUAGAUUUUAAAACGUUAUCAAUUGGUAAUAACUGCCCGCCGCCAAUUUUAGCCUUUUUAUGCGCACAUCAGAAAUCAAUCACAUAUAGACCACGUGUCAAUCUCACGGUCUUCUAUACAGGUCUUAAAACGAAGGUAGUGGGGGUGGUUCAUUUACCAGCUUAGUUAUUUCACUCUGGGGGCGCUAGAUCGGCGUGGUGAUCCAUCCCUAGAUAGCAGCGCCGAGCCAAGGCUAUUUUAAGCACUUAAAACCCGGACAACAUGAGAACCACUCCGCUCUUUUGAAAUUGGUCUCUGUUUUAGCACUUGUAUGUGAGAAUGUGGUCAAGAAUAAGCAUAUCGGUCUAACUAUAGAGUUUAAAUGUUUCAAUAGGCCUACGAAUCAGCUCCUCGUAGUUAAUAUAUAUAAUUAUUGCAGUAAUUGAAGAUUGUCACCGUUAUUUAGUUCUGGAAAUACAAUUUACGUUUGUCUUACA